GCAAUGGUGCUCCAGUGGUUGAAUUCUCGCCUUCCAUGUGAGAGACUUGGGUUUGAUUCCUAGCCAAUGCA
This 71-nucleotide transfer RNA is filed under the name Loxodonta africana (African savanna elephant). It matches the Rfam family "tRNA". From Rfam's summary of the family: Transfer RNA (tRNA) molecules are approximately 80 nucleotides in length. Lineage: Eukaryota; Metazoa; Chordata; Mammalia; Proboscidea; Elephantidae. The record is from Rfam by way of RNAcentral.